This is a long non-coding RNA of Dendroctonus ponderosae (mountain pine beetle), 1063 nucleotides long. RefSeq lists it as uncharacterized. The transcript has 6 exons. The record is from RefSeq and is a predicted model, not a curated record. Lineage: Eukaryota; Metazoa; Arthropoda; Insecta; Coleoptera; Curculionidae.
CAGUUAAGUGGAACGUCGAAAGCCGCGUGCUUCAGAGAGCAUAACGUUUCACACAAGGCUGAUAGUCCCAUUGGGACACCUUGAAUAGGCCCCAUUUUUACCAUGCGACUACUCGAAAUCUAUUAUUUUGCUGGGAUAAUCCUCGCAUGAUCGGUCAAAGCGACUGUUGCUAGUGAGUGAGAGAAGCUAAAUGGAAUGGAGUUGUAAAAACGAGACUUUUUGUAGUCCAAAGACCGUUUCCACUAUUGCUACAAAUAUCGGCACCUCACGAUGAAACACCCUGGAUAAGCUGAAGAACCAGCCAAUGAAAAAGACCAGUAGAAGCACCUAUGAAAUGGGUUGUGUGUUAAAACCCCAUUGCCAACCUUGCGUUUGUGGAGCUUGCACUUAAACUUGGACAAUGCAUAAAAGGGCAAUAGUUGUAUUUUUGGGUGUUUGCUUCCUUAUUGGAAUAGGCCAAGGUUUACCAGUGGCCUCGUCUGAUAAUGUGGAGAAGCAGGAAGAAAAUGCCAACAGCAACUGCAUUCAAACUCCAUGGGGCUGCAUCGAUAUUACUGAUCCAUCUUUCCGACCGAGGGUGCAUUUAGAAGUCGUUGUACCUCAGGAUGGUUCGGAAUUUGCAAGUCAACAUGCAGAAAUUAUAAAUUUAGAGAACAGUCCCGACGAAUCAGUCAUUUGACCUGUUGCAGAGAUAUCUAGCUAAGCUUUUAAAAGUAUGGUUAUUAAAUAACGAACUAUUAAAAUUACUCACAAGCAAGCAUAAAUUUAGCCGACCGCUUUGGAAAUAUAAAUAUUACUUUAAAAGAGUGUAACACAUAUAAAAAUAUAUUUAGUUGAUCAAGCAGUUUUAAUUAAUAAUAGCACAUUAAUGUUCUUAAAGGUAUAAAAAUUGACAUUAAAAUAUAUUUUGCCAAUGAAAAUUGUCCAAAAGAAAACAUUUGCUAAGCUUUAGGUGCACACUCGACUUAUUUUUACCAAGAAAAAUAUCAAUAGUGUUUGGUUUUACAAACUUAAAACUAAGGAAUAUAAGAUGUAGUUGGUAGCAUUAAAUAAAUUUCUUGUA